Molecule: ribosomal RNA, 246 nt
Filed under: uncultured bacterium
Lineage: Bacteria
Description: partial small subunit ribosomal RNA
Rfam family: Bacterial small subunit ribosomal RNA
Source: RNAcentral
AGAAUCAACGCUGGCGGCGUGCCUAACACAUGCAAGUCGCACGAGAAAGGGUAGCAAUACCAUGAGUAAAGUGGCGCACGGGUGAGUAACACGUGACUAACCUACCCUGGAGUGGGGGAUAACUGAGGGAAACCUUAGCUAAUACCGCAUAACACCUACGGGUCAAAGGAGCAAUUCGCUUCAGGAGGGGGUCGCGGCAGAUUAGCUAGUUGGCGGGGUAAUGGCCCACCAAGGCAGUGAUCUGUA